UGUAGCUCAACAGCACAGUGCCUGCCUGGCAAGCAGGAGGUCCUGAGUUCAAUUCCCGGUA
This 61-nucleotide transfer RNA is filed under the name Cavia porcellus (domestic guinea pig). It matches the Rfam family "tRNA", at positions 6 to 65 of the family's 71-position model. Rfam says of the family: Transfer RNA (tRNA) molecules are approximately 80 nucleotides in length. Their secondary structure includes four short double-helical elements and three loops (D, anti-codon, and T loops). The record is from Rfam by way of RNAcentral. Lineage: Eukaryota; Metazoa; Chordata; Mammalia; Rodentia; Caviidae.